Non-coding RNA from Rattus norvegicus (Norway rat), 3442 nucleotides. The record is from RefSeq and is a predicted model, not a curated record. Lineage: Eukaryota; Metazoa; Chordata; Mammalia; Rodentia; Muridae.
UAGCUUGCAAACUUUGGUUCUCUUCUAUUGUGUGUGUUCUAGGGAUGAACGCAGGUCAUCAGGCUUUCAUCAGCAACGACAUUUAUCUGCUAAGCCACCCGACUAGUCUGAUUGCACAAUCGCACCUUUUAAAAUUCUCUGUUGUCAUGAAAGACUGAGCUUUUGUAUUUAGUAGGUCUGUGGGAUGGCUUUGUUUUUCUUCUCAUAUUGUGCCUUUUUUUAAUUCUGCUGAUGGAGGUCCUCACACACUGGAGACAAGUGCCUUACAGCUGAGCCCUAGUAAAGGAAUGCUUUUUUAACGUUUUUAAUUUUAAUUUUUUAUUUUUUAGUUUGUGUUGAAAGAUGAGUGCUGUCUGGAUUUCUAGAGCAGAGCCUUUCAGCAAGAGGCCAGGCCUCUCUUGGGCCUUGGAAAGGAGGAACUAGUUAAAACUGAAAUGCUUUAUAUGCCCCACCUCUUCCUUCUGUGGAUGAAGAAAUGGAGAUGAAGGGAAGUACCUUUGGUGGGGGAAAAUGCACAGCACUUUUUAAAAAAAUUCAUUAUACCAGUUGCAAAACGGGCAACUCCAGCAAAAAGAAAACCUCUUUGGUGAAGAAUAUCUUAGGACGCGAUCCCCUAAGCCCUGCUGCACUGCCAGUUCAGGCCUGCCUUUCCAUUUCUAUGUCUUUGCCUGAUGCCCAAGGCUUGCUAUUCCAGCAAUCCCGAGAGGACUGUCUAGCCAUUGCUGCCCAGGCAACCUCGGUCUUUGCUUCUUCCCCUCUUGACCACAAUAGAUGCUGCAUGAGACAGUGGAGUGCUCAUGUUAGACACUGAUGUGGUGGUCUUAGAUUCCUGAGUGACAGCAUGACAUGCCUACAGAGCACGGAGGACUAGAAUCUAUAAAUAGGAAUUUUGUUUUUCAGACAGAGUCUCCUUGCAGACUGGGCUGGCCUUGGACUUCUAUCACACUCCGUUUGCUUUUCUGUAGUGCUGGGGAUCAGGCCUGGGGCUUUGUGAAUGCUCUGCGGGUGCUCGAGCAAGUAGAGCCAAAGUUCCUGGCCCUGAUUUCAUCUCGAAAGAGCCACACACAAUCCAAACAGCAGUGACUAGUAAACGUGUAAGUCCCUCUUUCAAUCCCAACCCCCAUUUUUCUUCUCUCUCUCUCUCUCUCUCUCUCUCUCUCUCUCUGAAAAGAGGAAAUGAAGAGUAAGCUAGCUUCCACAAUAGCAGCAAAAAAAAAAAAAUGAAGAAUCAGGUUCCAAUUAUAGGUGUGGUCAGCGCCAAAGUCCAUGUUAUUUUCACAGUAAUCCACAGACUAUAAGCAGGACCAUAGUUUGGAGGUCCACGGGAAGGUGACCACUGGGUAGCAUGCCAUGAUUGCCCAGCCCUACAAGACUCAAAGAGCAAAUUGGUGAAGUCCGGGGAUUUGUCUGUGGACUUCACCUAAGAAGAGGAGCUGUAACCUGAUAAUGCUCAGAGGAAUCUCUACAAGGAUGUGCUGCUGGACAAGUGUCACAUUGCCAACUUUACCCAGACAGGUGUGGGACCUGAGGACCACCCCUCUUCAGGGGCAGAAAAUGUUGUGUGUGAACUGAAGACACUGAAAUUCAGAGUGUACAGUAGCCUCAAAAACUAAGGUGUAGAAGAAAAUGAAGGAAGAGAAGUCGCCAUGGGUUAGAAGUCCAAAAAUCAAGUUGCUCGCAGAGUGGUGUCAUUUCUGAAUGUGCUCAGGAAGGGUUCUUCCCUGCUGUAUCUUAGUUUCUGGAGCCCUUGGAGGCCAGCUGGAGAGUUAUAGGCACUUGUGAGCUGCCUGCUGUGAGCGUUGGAAACUGAACUCCAGUCUUCUAGAAGAGCAGCAAGGUCUCUCAACUGCUAAGCCAUCUCUCUGGCCCACCAUCUGGUAUUUUUGUACUUAAAUUUUGCAUCUGUUUCUCCUCCAUCUCCAUCUAUGCUUAAGUCUGAACUACACACUAUCUCUCAUCUGACUUAUUCUGAAAUUUUUCCUAGUCAAGGGCCCAGCUUUACAUUAAUGGUGGUCCCCACUAAGCAGUUCCACUGGCCGAGGCUGCUGAUGUUAUGACUUGCACGUUCACUAGGAACAUAUUUUUGUCUAAAGUUUCUCCUGUCUCAUCCCGCCUAAUGAGAGACCAACAUCAUUGCAGGUUGACAUCACCUUUCAGCACAGAUAACACGUUUUACUGAAAAUCACUGAUGUGUAUCAAAUUAUGGAUUUUUUAAAUCAGCUUCAAAACAUACAUACCCUAACAAAUGACUCACAUUGGCAAUAUGAAAUUGGGAUCUUUAAGUACCCGAGGCAGGUUUUUGCUAUGUAGCCCUGGCUGGCCUGGAACACACUAGUUAGGCUAGGUUGGCCACAAACUCGAGAGAUUCCCCCUAUCCCAACGGUGUGAUGAGAGGUCUGAGCCAUCGCACCCAACCUUCUUUUGAGAUAGGGUCUUUGGCUGGCCUGGGGUUCAUUAUAUAGUUCAGAAUGGCCUUGAACUCAUGACAACCCUCUUGUUUUGGUCUAUGGAAUGCUGGGCUGAUUGCUGUGAGCCAUCCUGCCAUGCUUGUGAUGCAUAAACUGACAGAGGGUCAAACCUUAGUUGUCAGCAUUCUUUUCCUAGGGAGAUGUGAAGCAAUUGUAGGUAUUACAUUUGAUGCACGUUAGAUGUUCUGAACUGUAGUAAUGGGAACAUUGUGGUCAGAAAAUUAUUUGGGGGGACAAAUACAAAAGGUUGAUAUCUGAAGACUGUGUGUGGGAGCUCAAUUACAGAGAAGGGACUGGUGGGCAGGACAGGUAUUAUAAUGCUUAUAUGUAAGGCAUUGGAAAGGAGAAUGACCCAUCCAGGAAGCUAAAUAUGGUGCAUAGAGGCAGGACAGUAGAAAGCAAAUAGAACAAUGAGUCCAUUAUGUGGCUGCGAGGACUGCACUCAAAUACCUAGGUUGUGAGUAAGUAUUUAAGUGCUUGGCAGUUAUAGGUAAUCUAUAUACAGUUCUUCACUUUGCUUUGUUCUCUGGACAAAUGAAUGAACACAUUGCCGUCUCCAAUCAUUCUCUGGCACUUAGUUUUUCUUAUUUCAACACCUUUCCACUUGGGGUGUAUUGUGCAGCAUUACCCUCCCCCAACACACGCACACAAGGCAGUGCUUGAAGUUGAUGAAACAACCCUAUUGUUAAACAAGGACACACCACACUUUCAUUCCUGCAUUUUAAAAAAUCUCAGUUCUGAAUUUCCCACACAUCCUGAUCUGUUCACUUGCAACAAUUUUACAGCUUUUCUCAGUCUAAGCUGGUUCUCACAGACCCAGGUCACAUGCUCUUCUCCCUUGUGUGUAGACCUUGACUUCCAGGAGGUCCUAUGAGGCUGACAAGAAAGUUGCUCUGGCCUGCUCUGGCCUAAGCCUGUGCAGAAGGGAAGAGAUGAACAUUUGAGGGAAUAAAAGCUCACGUGGUAAUUAUUUA